This 342-nucleotide long non-coding RNA is filed under the name Monodelphis domestica (gray short-tailed opossum). Its description in RNAcentral is "lncRNA (ENSMODG00000035675.2)". The record is from RNAcentral. Lineage: Eukaryota; Metazoa; Chordata; Mammalia; Didelphimorphia; Didelphidae.
AUCUGGAGCCAAAAAUAAAAGAGAAACCCUGCAACCAUAGUACCUGGUGGAAAUGCCCACAAGUGACCCAAGCAAGACCUAGGAGAGACUUUAGAUCAUGACCAAUCAGAAACAACAGCAACAACAACAACCACAACCACCACCACCACCAGAAGUUCUAUAGUGCCAGAGGAAAAUGAAUGUUGGAGCCAGAUAAGAAACUAUAGGCUGCUUUCAAGAAGGUUACAAGAAAACUGCAUCUUGCAUUACUAAUCCUUUAUCUUCAUGUUAACAAAAAGAUUACUGACACAUUUUUGAAUGAAAGAAAAUAAAAUAGCAAAUGCAUCUUAGAAAAUGUUUAAC